This 463-nucleotide ribosomal RNA is filed under the name Enterococcus durans. RNAcentral describes it as "bacterial SSU rRNA". It matches the Rfam family "Bacterial small subunit ribosomal RNA", at positions 100 to 549 of the family's 1533-position model. Lineage: Bacteria; Bacillati; Bacillota; Bacilli; Lactobacillales; Enterococcaceae. The record is from RNAcentral.
GAACGGGUGAGUAACACGUGGGUAACCUGCCCAUCAGAAGGGGAUAACACUUGGAAACAGGUGCUAAUACCGUAUAACAAUCGAAACCGCAUGGUUUUGAUUUGAAAGGCGCUUUCGGGUGUCGCUGAUGGAUGGACCCGCGGUGCAUUAGCUAGUUGGUGAGGUAACGGCUCACCAAGGCCACGAUGCAUAGCCGACCUGAGAGGGUGAUCGGCCACAUUGGGACUGAGACACGGCCCAAACUCCUACGGGAGGCAGCAGUAGGGAAUCUUCGGCAAUGGACGAAAGUCUGACCGAGCAACGCCGCGUGAGUGAAGAAGGUUUUCGGAUCGUAAAACUCUGUUGUUAGAGAAGAACAAGGAUGAGAGUAACUGUUCAUCCCUUGACGGUAUCUAACCAGAAAGCCACGGCUAACUACGUGCCAGCAGCCGCGGUAAUACGUAGGUGGCAAGCGUUGUCCGGA